AGCAACUAUAGUGACCAUAGUGGUCCUAAUUUACUAAGCCUAUACUAGGUCUACCCGCCCCCCAAUGUCGAAGCAAUAAUAAAAUAACAUAUAAAACAAUAAAAAAAACAAGGUAAUUAAAUCAAACACAAUCAUUUGUUGGGAGAAGAUCCUUAAGAAAUAAUCAAUUUCUAUCCCAAAGGGAGAAGAUCCUUAAGAAAUUGAUUAAAUCUAUCCCACAAUAUAUAAUAACAUAUCAUUUCAUCCGAAACAGUAAAUCAAUUUAAAAUUAAUCUAAUUAACAAAUUUCAUCCGAAACAGUAAAUCAAUUUAAAAUUAAUCUAAUUAACAUAUCAUUUCAUCCGAAACAGUAAAUCAAUUUAUAUUAGCAUACUUAAUUUAACAAAAUAAUAGUAAAUCAAUUUAAAAUUAAUCUAAUUAACAAAUUUCAAUUAAUCAUACUUUAAACAUCCUAU
RNAcentral lists this long non-coding RNA (455 nucleotides) under Salvia miltiorrhiza (redroot sage). RNAcentral's name for it is "long non-coding RNA (SMIL_LNC011834)". The record is from RNAcentral. Lineage: Eukaryota; Viridiplantae; Streptophyta; Magnoliopsida; Lamiales; Lamiaceae.